UACGGAGGGUGCAAGCGUUAUCCGGAUUCACUGGGUUUAAAGGGUGCGUAGGCGGGCAGGUAAGUCCGUGGUGAAAUCUCUGAGCUUAACUCAGAAACUGCCAUGGAUACUAUUUGUCUUGAAUAUUGUGGAGGUGAGCGGAAUAUGUCAUGUAGCGGUGAAAUGCUUAGAUAUGACAUAGAACACCAAUGGUGAAAACAGCUCGCUGGGGGUGUGCUGACGCUGAGACACGAAAGUCAGGGGAGCGAACGGG
Molecule: ribosomal RNA, 253 nt
Filed under: uncultured bacterium
Lineage: Bacteria
Description: partial 16S ribosomal RNA
Rfam family: Bacterial small subunit ribosomal RNA
Source: RNAcentral